This 213-nucleotide ribosomal RNA is filed under the name uncultured bacterium. Its description in RNAcentral is "partial 16S ribosomal RNA". It matches the Rfam family "Bacterial small subunit ribosomal RNA", at positions 1289 to 1500 of the family's 1533-position model. The record is from RNAcentral.
CAGUUCGGAUUGUAGUCUGCAACCCGACUACAUGAAGCUGGAAUCGCUAGUAAUCGCGGAUCAGAAUGCCGCGGUGAAUACGUUCCCGGGUCUUGUACACACCGCCCGUCACACCAUGGGAGUCGGAAAUGCCCGAAGUCUGUGACCCAACCAUUAAGGAGGGAGCAGCCGAAGGCAGGUCGGAUGACUGGGGUGAAGUCGUAACAAGGUAGC